CGGGACGGGUGAGUAAUGUCUGGGAAACUGCCUGAUGGAGGGGGAUAACUACUGGAAACGGUAGCUAAUACCGCAUAACGUCGCAAGACCAAAGAAGGGGACCUUCGGGCCUCUUGCCAUCGGAUGUGCCCAGAUGGGAUUAGCUAGUAGGUGGGGUAACGGCUCACCUAGGCGACGAUCCCUAGCUGGUCUGAGAGGAUGACCAGCCACACUGGAACUGAGACACGGUCCAG
RNAcentral lists this ribosomal RNA (233 nucleotides) under uncultured bacterium. RNAcentral describes it as "partial 16S ribosomal RNA". It matches the Rfam family "Bacterial small subunit ribosomal RNA", at positions 100 to 334 of the family's 1533-position model. The record is from RNAcentral.